CCCUGUUUUUCUGUAAUGGCCCAGUAUUAAUGCCCAGUUUGUCUGUAUUAAGCCCUGUUUGGAUUUUUGAUAAAGUUAAUAAAACUAAGUUGUAAAAAGUAUAAUACCUUUUUGUAUUUUAUUUAAUUUAGUAACCAGCAACCAACAUUAAAGAACCAUAUAAAGGGAUCACUGUUCAUCCUGUUUUUUAACACAUAUCUCUUUCAACUUAAUAUCUUGGAUAUUUGGUAUAUUAAAGCUUUAUAAUGGUGAAGUACAACUUAUUUUGUUCAAACUAAACUGUCAUUAAAAGAGUAAGACAGUACAUCAAGUUAGCAGCAACACAUACACUUUUGUUCAGUUGGUUAAUAAAUGUAUUAAGAAAUGGGUGUUUUUAUAAUGGCCCUGUUAUAUGUCCUCGGUCAGUAAUAAUGGCCUCGGAUGUCUGUAAUAGCCCUCGGCGUUGCCUCGGGUCAUUACAGACUUCCUCGACCAUUAUUACAGAC
RNAcentral lists this long non-coding RNA (485 nucleotides) under Mytilus galloprovincialis (Mediterranean mussel). The record is from RNAcentral. Lineage: Eukaryota; Metazoa; Mollusca; Bivalvia; Mytilida; Mytilidae.